This 450-nucleotide ribosomal RNA is filed under the name uncultured bacterium. RNAcentral describes it as "partial 16S ribosomal RNA". It matches the Rfam family "Bacterial small subunit ribosomal RNA", at positions 354 to 796 of the family's 1533-position model. The record is from RNAcentral.
GUGGGGAAUCUUCCGCAAUGGACGAAAGUCUGACGGAGCAACGCCGCGUGAGUGAUGAAGGUCUUCGGAUUGUAAAGCUCUGUUAAUCGGGACGAAAGAGCCUAGUGUGAAUAAUGCUAGGAAGUGACGGUACCGGAAUAGAAAGCCACGGCUAACUACGUGCCAGCAGCCGCGGUAAUACGUAGGUGGCAAGCGUUGUCCGGAAUUAUUGGGCGUAAAGCGCGCGCAGGCGGAUCUGCCAGUCUGUCUUAAAAGUUCGGGGCUUAACCCCGUGAUGGGAUGGAAACUACAGAUCUAGAGUAUCGGAGAGGAAAGUGGAAUUCCUAGUGUAGCGGUGAAAUGCGUAGAGAUUUGGAAGAACACCAGUGGCGAAGGCGACUUUCUGGACGAUGUCUGACGCUGAGGCGCGAAAGCUAGGGGAGCGAACGGGAUUAGAAACCCCAGUAGUCC